AUACGUAGGGUGCAAGCGUUAAUCGGAAUUACUGGGCGUAAAGCGUGCGCAGGCGGUUUUGUAAGACAGUGGUGAAAUCCCCGGGCUCAACCUGGGAACUGCCAUUGUGACUGCAAGGCUGGAGUGCGGCAGAGGGGGAUGGAAUUCCGCGUGUAGCAGUGAAAUGCGUAGAUAUGCGGAGGAACACCGAUGGCGAAGGCAAUCCCCUGGGCCUGCACUGACGCUCAUGCACGAAAGCGUGGGGAGCAAACAGGAUUAGAUACCCUGGUAGUCCGCGCCCUAAACGAUGUCAACUGGUUGUUGGGGAUUUAUUUUCUCAGUAACGAAGCUAACGCGUGAAGUUGACCGCCUGGGGAGUACGGCCGCAAGGUUAAAACUUAAAGGAAUUGACGGGG
RNAcentral lists this ribosomal RNA (395 nucleotides) under uncultured bacterium. RNAcentral describes it as "partial 16S ribosomal RNA". It matches the Rfam family "Bacterial small subunit ribosomal RNA", at positions 523 to 918 of the family's 1533-position model. The record is from RNAcentral.